CUUGUUGUUGCUGCUAUUGUUGGUUACUGUUUGCUCCUGUUGCUGCUGCUGCUGCUGUUUGCUUCUGUUGCUGGUUGCUGUUUCCUGGAUUGAUUGCUACUUGAAGAUAUUCUGAUAAUAAAGAUCAAAUUUGCCUCAAGGAACUCAAUGCCCCUGAUCAGCAGUGCUGGGACUGAACCAAAGCCCUGUGCACAUUGCCUACAUGUUCCACAGUGAACUCCAUCCAGCUUCCCUUAACCGGAGGAUGAGUAGAGGAGUCUCCAACAAGGCUUUUCAUCAGGAGGGUUACCUUCCCAGUAUCUUGGGAACAGAAGAGGCAAUCAUCUGCAAGCCAGGAAGAGCCCUCGCCAGACCCCAGCCGGGCCAUACCCUGUUCCUGGAUGUCUACUCUGCAGAGUUGUGAGAAAUCUGUUUGUUGAUUAAAUCUUCCAGUUGAUGGCAUUUUGUUUUGUCAACCCUAUCACGUUAAUAUAGGCCCAAAGAACAUCACAGAAGAGGGAAUAGAAGAAAAUAUGAGUCAGAAGAUGAGGAAGAGUGACGUGAAGUGCUACCUUCAGGAUGACAUGGCCAUCGCACUCAUAAGCUCACAGCAGCUGUGGUAGCUGCGAAAGAGCGCAUCAACGUUCUGCCAUUGGUAGGGGAGGGGCUCACGAGGCCUACCCUUCCUCAAGGAGCUCUUGUCAGUUAACAGGCUAUUAGGGGAGGGGAAGUCAUUUUCCUCCUGGCCACAGGUGGGUUGCCCAAACUUUGCUAAAUGCCUUCCCAAUCCGUGCUCAUGUCAACAAUACUAAUUAGACUCAGUGAGCAACAAGUUAGGGUAGGAAGAGAAAAUAAGAAAAGAAAAAUAUGACAGGAAAGUAGUAGAGGGACUGGUUGGGAGGAAUCUGGAGUUCAGCAAGGGAGGGACAAAAAGAGAGUGUGUGGCAGGGGUGAAUUAAAAUGCAUUAUAUGUAUAUACACAUACACAUAUAUAUUUAUAUGUGUAUAGAAAAUUGUCACACACAGAGACAUGCACACAGAGAGUCCAUGAUAAAGUACAAAGUAACGAUAUUCUCUGAAUUUUGAAAAGCUACCUUCUUGAUGCCCCUUGAGAAGGCCUGAAAGAAAACUGGCAUGUACUAUUAUAUUUGUAGUCACCCUCUGUAUAUGUCUGUUCUGCUUUCUUAGAGUCAAUCACCCACAGACAAAAUGUUUAUGAGAAACAACUGCGUCUGUUC
Psammomys obesus (fat sand rat) is the source of this 1217-nucleotide long non-coding RNA. RefSeq lists it as uncharacterized. The record is from RefSeq and is a predicted model, not a curated record. Lineage: Eukaryota; Metazoa; Chordata; Mammalia; Rodentia; Muridae. The transcript is spliced from 4 exons.